Molecule: long non-coding RNA, 8519 nt
Organism: Neofelis nebulosa (Clouded leopard)
Lineage: Eukaryota; Metazoa; Chordata; Mammalia; Carnivora; Felidae
Exons: 2
Source: RefSeq, a predicted model, not a curated record
UGGGGUGCUGCGAAGACGACCGGCAGGAAGCAGCUUUGUCAUUGCUCUCUCAUCAUUCCCGAUGCUGUGGUUCAUUACUUAACGUCAGAUUAAAAAAAAACAACAACAACAAAAACCGUUGGGAGAGCGUACUGGACAAUUUCUGCAGAGCGGACGAGAGGGGUUGAGUUAAAGUUAAACGUUAAAUUUCUUCCGUCUUCCAAAAUAAUUAUUUUCGGAGAAAAUAAGUUGUUUGAACUUGCUUACCUUUGCCCAAAUUUUCGUUUAGUUUCUUUGUGCACCUCUCUUUGGUUCGCCUGAUUUGGGGGGGGGGGGGAGGGGGAGCGCUAGUAUUUUUGAUCGGAAUUUUAGAAGUCAGUAAAUGUAAAAACAGUUCGCCUUAGAGAAGGUGGUUGAGAAUUUGGCUGGUGAGUGAUCGAAAAUGUUGCUGCUAAAAUGUAGGAUUACUCAUAAAACGCACGGCUUGCGAGAAUCUGCUGAGUAGGCAAAGACCGGGAACGUACCGGGGUUGGCGAAGGGGAGAGGAUAAUGAACUGCAGUUGCUGUCAGAGGAGCGCUAUUGUAAGGACCUCAAGCUCUGACUUUGCCUGGUUGGUUCCUUUUUUUUUUUUUUUUUUUUUUUGCAAUGAGUGUUAAAGAGUGAUAACAAGGCGUUAGUGGUUAGUAUACGAUUCAGACUGUUGUGUGUGAAUUCAUUUUAGAUGUGACAGCAGUUGGUGCUAAGGGAAGCUUAAAGUUAUAUUUAAGUUCUUUUCAACUGUUUUACUAGAAAGCAGUUUGGUGUCACAUAUUUAAAAUAAUAAUAGGGCCCUUCAAGUUGACAUUUGUUGUAGUAUAGUGAUUUGGGGAUGUCUUAGGCUAAAUACGUUUCGGGUCCCAAAACCCUGGUGUACCACUAAAAAAAAUAGAUGCUCGAAUGCUGACGAUUGGGUGAGAUGAAAUUCAAAAUUGUUUCCUAAGAGAACUUUCUAGGAAGAGAAACAACUUCUCUAAUGUAGACCACCUCUUGUGUGAUAUCUGCUGUAUAUAUUUUAACAUCUCAACUCAGUGGUUUAUUCCCUGCUCCAUGUUAUUGGUUGUUCUGAGAAAGGGGCUCUUGGAUCCAAGUAGUAGGAAAACUUUGAUUAGAAACAAAAGUUGCAUCUUUGUGUGCUAACCUGUAAUGAAAAUUAACUGCCAAGGGGGCCCGUGGCAUAAAACCUUUGAUAAGAUACCUUGAUCAAAAUAAUUAAAUACUAUUCAACAAAACUCCUUCAUAUAGAGGUGCGAUUUGAAUCAUUGCAAGUGAUUUCAAUGCCUCCACUCUUAAGCUAAGAAUAAAAUAAGAUAGUAACUAACUGAACACUGCAGCGUGCCAGGCACAGCUGCUGUAAUUGAAUUAUCUCUUUGAUUCUUCUCAGUCACUUAAAUAGGUAAGGAGUUUUAUUUUUCACAUUUGGAGUUAAAGAAACUGAGUCCCGGCCUGCCUGUUUCUUGCCCGAGAUCACACAGGUGGAGCAGUGCCUGAGUCCUGAGCUGUGCUGCAGAUUUGCUUACUUCCAGGAUGCUUCUUUAAUGGUGAGGUGUGAGGUGUGAAAAGGGAUCUGCAAAGCCUUAAUAUAAGUAUACAAAAAGCAAUUUCUGCUCAAAGUGCUCUGCUACAAAAUGGAAAAAUCGGAAUUAUCGGUCUGGUAGUUCAACUUGUGGGUAAUUGAAAUAGGACUGCCUGUAUUCUGCUCUUCUUCUCUUCCUGGCCUUCAGAUGUGCCCUUGAACUAGGAACAAAGCCACAAGGCCAUGAUGUCUGUUGUUUUCUUAGCCUGCAUGAUGGGAGUAGAUCUCUUAAGUUAUAAAUAUUCAUUUUCUUCAGUUACAUUUGGAAUGUGGUCUACGCUCAUUUAGACGUUGUGUUUUGUGGGAUAGUAGGUAAUUUCUGAGAUCCAAAGAGAAGAUUGCAGAUAUUUUUGGAUUUCAAGGAAACCUCAAGCUGGGCCACAUUGUUCUGAGUAGUGCUAAGAGAAACAGAACCAUCACCUCUGAUUUAUGAUCUGGAGCAGUAAAAUCUUGUCCAUGUGCCACACACAGUAUCUGUUUGCUCUUGAAACAAUUAGUUUAGAUUGUUGGACUCAUUGGUCCUCAGGAUUCAUAGCUCAGUUUGUUCUAACCACAGUCAUUUCAUUGUGCACUAUUUAAAGUAAUUUGACUUUUUUUUUCUUCGAAGAGGUAGAUGAGAGCAUAGAUCAAAAUGAAUUUUGUGGCACUGACAGGGACUACACGAGAGGACCAUGUCACUUUCCUCUCGUUAUUUGGCAUUGCUUUCAGGUAAUAUUUUUCAUUUGAUACUUACGGUUGGUAUAUGACUAAUUUUUUGUGUGACUGAAUAGGCUAGGCAGUGUCUUCCUUUUCUAUAGUCAGCUCCUUAAGGCAAGACAUUGUCUCACAUUUUUAUUGUCUCCUGCAUAAGCUAGAAGAAUUUUGAAUGAGGAAGAGACUACGUAAUUAUUUCUUAGCUUGUGAACCUUUAUAAAUUGAGUUUGUACAGUCCUCUCUCUCAUUUUAAAACCUAAAAGGAGUGAAAAACAACAACAACCUAAAACUAGGAAAUUGAUUAUUUUGUUUUGCUUUGUUGUUGAUUUCUUCCCCCAGAAGUGGAAGACAUCUGUUGAAUGAAAGGUCAGUUGCCUAAACUUUAAAAAUUAGAUUUUGGGUCAGUAUUUUGAAAACAUGUAAUAUUUGAUUUGAGUAUUCAAGUUGUGGAGAAACGCAGUCAUUUAGAAAUGCAGUACCAGUUGGGGCACCUGGGUGGCUCAGUCGGUUAAGUGUCCGACUUCUGCUCAGGUCAUGAUCUCGCGGUCUGUGAGUUCGAGCCCCGCGUCGGGCUCUGUGCCGACAGCUCAGAGCCUGGAGCCUGCUUCGGAUUCUGUGUCUCCCUCUCUCUCUGGCCCUCCCCCGUUCAUGCUCUGUCUCUCUCUGUCUCAAAAAUAAACAUUAAAAAAAAAUUUAUAAAAAAAUAAAAAGAAAUGCAGUACCAGUUCAAGCAGGACAUACUGUGCCUCUGCUCUCACUCUCAGAUUCGUGUGUGCUUUCUUUGGAACCUUUAAGCACAACAGAUACACUGGCUACUUUCUUAUGGGAGUUGUAAUAAACUUGCCUUCUUUAACUUGAAAUAGUUACAGAUCUGUGGCUUUAGUUUCCAAAUUCUGAUCUAAAGUACCGAAUGCUUUAUAGAAGUGUAUAUAACCUGGCGUGCCCUCUUUGGAUAAUAGCAAGCCUGUGAUGGGGUAAAGGUGGGUAUGGCAUCUCAAUAGUUUGUAGAUCUAUACUUUUCGGUGAGGAUUAACUUACUUUAUAUUUAGAAGUGUGUUGAUAGAUAAAACAGGAGGGCUUUGUCUGGUUCCCCAUCUCUGCUAACCCCCUCAUUGAAGCAAUCCUUGAAUUCUAGAAAGGAAUAUAUACGUACCUUCAACUACUGCCAGGGAUUAACCAGUUUUAAAACGCACCUUGUGCUAAGGGAGAAGCCCUGGUCCACCCCCACCCUGGGAGGGAGGGGAGUGGGGGAGUUGAAAUUCUGUAGAAGAACAGCGUCUGGUGGUUGAGCACAUCUCAGAAGAAAGCACUUUCAGACAAUUUGCAAAAGGAAAUUAGGGUUAGUCAGUUCUCCCACGGUGUUUUUGUUUUCAAUUUGACUGAGGUUAAUGUUAAUGAAGUUUAAAUAAUAAUAAUAACAAUAAUAAUAAUAAUAAUAAUAAUAAAGCAAAGUCAGAUUGUUCCCAAGAUUAUUAUGAAGCCGGUUUUUGGUGGAUCUCUUUGGUGAGGGAAAUUUUGCAUUGCAAAAAGCAUUGCUCUUAAACUGGUACAGAACCAGUUUUGUUCUGUCUUCUGCCCUCCUCAUUUGUGAGCUACCAAUUACCUUGGAAGAAAAUUCACGAAAGCAAAGAAGCUCUGAUUAUUAAAUAUGAGCAGAUAUCAAAGAAAAAUGCUGUGGUAUUUUGGGAAGUGCGGUUCAAGGACGUGAUUUCAAGAAGGAAAUAUUUAUGCAGUAUUUUGACCCAGCGAAUGUCUUCAUUUUUUCCUUUGUGACGCCAUGGUAAACAGUGUCCUUGACAGGAGAGAAACACAGACAGGUCUCUUAAGUGAUUUCCUACUAGUUCAUCCUGAGAGCCAGCCGAGCUUCCUGACUCACCAGACUACAGUUUCUUCCAACAUAAAGAAGAAUUGAGUCAUUUUUUUUUUCCAGUCAGCUGGUUUAUGGAGAUGUUCUUUGGCGAUAUUAACGCACGUGAUCUCUCAAGAGAUUUAGGGGAUUCUUAUGGGAUAGCAUGAAAAGGUGUUUGAUAGUUUCUAUACUCUUUUGAAAAUGGAAUUUAGUGAAUGCUGCAUUGAAGCAAUUUAAAUGUCACAUAUUCUCAGGCAUGAGAAAUGUUCUCUUAGUCACGGAUAAGAGGGAAAUCUCAUUUUGGUGCUGUCGUUCGUUUUGAGCCUCCAAAUCUAUAUAUUACCCAGUAGCUGUAAAAUGCAGGAAAUAAAGCUGAGUAUCUUCGUUACUGCUUUGAGGUACAGCAUACAACUUGAUUGCUUCCAAAUACAUAAACUUAGUUUUCUAUUAGGGAAUUUCUCUAUUUCAUUUGUUUUCCAAGAUUGGCAUAUAAACUCAAUUCCAAAAGCUCCUGUCUUUUAAAAGGGAAAGUUCUGUAUGUGAGUUGUGGUGGGAACUACAAGCAGUAGCAUUUCUGAUGAUCCCUCCGAACUAGUUGGAAAUACAGUCUACAUCUUUAGGACAAAGUUUCUUGACUCAGAAGUAAAAAUGUAACAAACUUGGAUAUCAUAGUCUCUGUUGCAGUUCAGUUACGUUUUAUUGGUAUAGGGUGUGUGCAUAACUUUUACAGCUUAAAUGAUUACCUUUUUUACAUAAGUGAAAAAAAAUGGGGAGAGAACUAAGGCUGUAUUUUUGUUCAUUCCUUUUAUUAUGAGUAUACAUGUAUUCAUUUGCUCAAAAUAAUGCAGUAAGUAGAAGGCACAAUAAUGUUUUGCUGAAAUAUAGAUGUAUCAGGUGGAGUUUAGUAUUAGGCCUUAAAGGGAAAAAUAAGAUUUAUAACUUGCCGUGUUAAUGCUCUAGAGACCCUAAAGUAAAAAUUAACUUCAAAACCAUCCCAGUGCUGACUUUCUGUGACUUGGCAGUGAUCGGUGUUGAGAAUCUUUCCCCUGUGCAAACUUUUCCCUUUUUCUAGCUAUGCCUAGUGAGUUAAAGCUUAACCCAAUGGCCACAAAGCCAGCAGACUUAAUAUCCUGGAAGUCUUGUUCUCUGAUGAAUGUCUGUUUUCUUGUUAUGGUUUAUUGGCUUUGUUUUUAAUUUAACCAGAUUGAACUAUCCGAUUCAAAAGGCUGUUACUCAAGCAGUAAUUUUAUGUCAGAUUUAGUAUGGUAAGAGGAAUCCCAGUAGCGACAUCUUGUCAAAAAGAACGAAAACUAACUGAAGGGGGGAAAUCUAUAGUGUAUUUCGACUGAUGCCUAAAUUGCCUUUGCUUUGGUGUUAGGUGUUAUAUUUCCAAAGGACACCCACAGUUUGACCACAUUGUUAAAAAACUUUUUUUUAAUGUUUAUUUUUGAGAGAGAGAGAAAGACAGAGUGUGAGUGGGGAGGGGCAGAGAGAGAUGGAGUCACAGAAUCUGAGCUGUCAGCACAGAGCCUGACAUGGGGCUUGAACUCACUAGCCAUGAGAUCAUGACCUGAGCCGAAGUUGGACGCAUAACUGACUGAGCCACCCAGGUGCCCGACCACGUUCUAAAGGUACCAAGAAUUGUUGUUUCUCUCUAUUGGCUCAUAUGAUGAUGAAUACUUGGAGACCUGCAGGCCACAUGGUCCUUUGGGUGGGCUGUAGAGAGUUAAGGAUGCAACUCUUGAGUCACUGGCUUGCCUUUAUUUUACCCUACAAGAUCUUGCUUUCUUUUUCAUAUUGCUUACUGCUGGGUUGGCAAUUAAAUAAAAGUAAAAGAAUAUUUUAGGUGCAACGUGGUCAUAUUAAGUUCAAGGUUCUCUUUCAAACUUGACACUAGAAUCACCGGGUUUGGGGGGGGGGGGGUGGUUGCUAACAUGCCGAUUCUACUCCUUUUUUCCCCACCCUCAGAGUCUCAUUAGACAGGUGUAGGGUGGAGCUUGGGUGGGGAGCCCUGCCGGCUCUGAGGCCAGAGGCCCACCCUACUACCCUUUGUGAAAUGGAGUCUGUGUGAGAGAGAUAUAUAAAGUAUAUCAUGUAAAAAAAAUAAAUAAAUUAAAAAAAAAUAUAUAUAUAUAUAUAUAUUAUACAAUGCAAUUACAUUUUGACUUAAUAUAUACUCACAUAUCCUCCUCCCCCCCCCCUUGAAAUAGACAAGAGAUUGGUAGAAAAAGUAGAUCUCCAUCUCUAUUUAUAUAUAUAUUACAAACUGUAUUUGCUAAAGUAUCCAGAUGCACCUAAAUUUAAAAAAUAAAAGGAAAAGGAAGGCAUCAAGAAGUAAUGCCCAAUUUGAUCAUGCAGCACUUUCCCAAGAAUUGUUUCUUUUCAAGGACCUAAAUAUUUAAUUUACCCUUUCCUAUCCAUUCUGGGCUCCUUCCCAAAACUGCUAACUCGCAUUCUGCCACACACACCCCAGUUUAUCAGGUGGCAGUUGUUUUUGUUCCCAGAGAAAAGUUACAACUGUGAAUUGGUCAAUUAUAUCCAAACUCCAUGAAACUAAAAGGUGGUGGUGUUUUGUUUUUUAAACAAUAUACUGUGUCCACUGUUGUUGAACAAAUAAUGUUCAGUAAAAAUUUUAAGUGAGACUCCUACUGGGAAGUAAAUGUUCAAAUUAUAGCAGAUGUCAGUUCCUGUAACAAAAUUCAGGAAACACUUUCUGGUAUGUGGGUGUUGUAACUCUUCAGUUCUUGGAACUUUCCUUCAGGAAACUGUCCUGUCAAAAGCAGAGCAGUUGAUAAAAUAUGUAGCACAAUUCACAAACGGUGUCGUGCAGUGUGAUUAAAUUUUGAUUUGGUGCAUAUGUUUUUGUGGUCAUGAUAGAGCCGAGACUCACGUGACAUUCAUCCCGGACAAUGUGCAUCUGGAUAACUUGUUAAAUCGAUCCCCUCAUUCUCAUUGCCUUAAAAAUGCAGGUGUAUCUGAUUUACUCUGGAUGUGAAUUUUUGGUAAGUGGUAAAAUUAACCAGGCCCCAUUGCUUCAUAUAAAAGAAUGAAACAUGUUUCCUACUUAGUUUUGUGUAGAAAUUACAUAUUUUUGUCUCCUGGUCGAUAAACUGAUAUUUUACUGUAGACAUUUUUAAGUAAGAUGGCCUACCUAGUCAGUUGGUAGCUUUAGCUGUCAUGAGUUCAUGAAAUUAUGCUGUGUGUGUGUGUUUAAAGGCAAACAGAACCUCUUGAAUUAAUAUGCUGAAUAUUAAAUAUUUCUAAAAGUUUGUUAAAAGGGGAUAUUUAGUGGUACAAAAUUCUGGACGGUAACACGUAGCUAACACUCUCUCUCUCUUUCUCUUUAAGUAAUGUUGACCUGCAAUUGCACUUCUAGAAAUUAUGUUUUUCUGUUAUUUUAUGGUCUGUGUAUCUCUCUUUCCCCCCCUCACUUCCCUUUUAGAGUUAAACCAUACUUGUGCUAACUCUCCAUUUUAAAAAGCUGUGUAAAUAUAAACUUUGUACCACAUGGAAGAAAUUAGGCAGCUACAUUUACUGACAUUAGCAUAGUAAAAAUAUAGAAUGGAACCCAGUGUGUUACAUUUGUUUCCAAAACCAAGUUCUAGCUGAAAGUGUUGUAAAGCAUACAGAGAUGAGUAUUGUCUGCUUGUCACUUGAUUUUAGUAAAAUCGAGAGUAAACCAAUUAAACACAGUUUUUUAAAGUGGGAACUGUGCCCAGAAGACAAAAAGCCCUAGAUUGGAAGUUAUAAAAGAUUGAAUUUGGUAGUUUCUAUCUUUUUGUUGAUAGUGUGGGGUUUUUAUAUUAAAACUCAUGAUAGGUGCCUUAUUUUAUUAUUUUUUUAAUGUUUAUUUAUAUUUGAGAGAGAGAGUGCGUGAGAGACAAGGUGCGAGCAGGGGAGGGGCAGAGAGAGAGGGAGACACAGAAUCCAAAGCAGGUUCUAGGCUCUGAGCUGUCAGCACAGAGCCCCAAGCAGGGCUCGAACUCACAAGCCAUGAGAUCAUGACCUGAGCUGAAGUCCAACUGAUGGAGCCACACAGACACCCCAACAGGUGCCUUAUUCUUACAAAUGGCAUCAUAUUUUUCUUAUUUUAACAGUCAUGUUUUUCUAAGGAUAAAGUGAAAAUCAUUAGAUUUACUCACUGUGGACUUUAGUAUGUAGGCUUUGAAAAAAAUCAUGACAAUUCUCAUAAGCCUAGAAUAAAACUUGGUUUCUUCCUGAGGUCACCCAUAUUCUGUGGUGAUAUCCCUCUAAGGUGUUGGUAUUAUCCAUUAUAUUAAAGAGUGAAGUGGAAACUUUACUCCUACUUCGUUUUUUGAUAUCUUGGCAAAUGACUUUUUUUUUUUUUUUUUUUGGCAGGGUGGGAGGGGAGCAGAUUGCUUUAA